GACGAACGCUGGCGGCAUGCUUAACACAUGCAAGUCGAGCGGACCGUUCCUGCUUUUGUGCGGUGCUCUAGUUGCCAACUGGUGAUUUACACUUGUGUACCCUGCCCUUCACUUUAGGAUAACGUCAUACAACUUGGGCUCAUACCGGAUAGGAGCUCCUGCGGCAUGAUUGGGGUUGGAAAGUUUCGGCGGUUGGGGGUGGACUCGCGGCUUAUCCGCUUGUUGGUGGGGUAGUGGCUUAGCAAGGCUUGGCCGGGUAGCCGGGCUGAGAGGGUGACAGGCCACAUUGGGACUGAGAUACGGCACAGACUCCUACGGGAGGGAGCAGUGGGGAAUAGUGUAUAAUGGGCGGAAGGCAGACGCAGCAACGCCGCGUGCGGGAUGAGGGCCAUCGGGUUGUAUACCGAAUUUGCCUCUGAUGAAGAGUGAGUGACGGUAAUGGGUAAAGAAGCCCCGGCUAACUACGUG
RNAcentral lists this ribosomal RNA (468 nucleotides) under uncultured bacterium. RNAcentral describes it as "partial 16S ribosomal RNA". It matches the Rfam family "Bacterial small subunit ribosomal RNA", at positions 28 to 507 of the family's 1533-position model. The record is from RNAcentral.